CCCUACGGGGGGCAGCAGUGGGGAAUUUUGGACAAUGGGCGCAAGCCUGAUCCAGCCAUGCCGCGUGAGUGAAGAAGGCCUUCGGGUUGUAAAGCUCUUUCGGCGGGGACGAAAUGGUCCGUGCUAAUACCAUGGACUGAUGACGGUACCCGAAGAAGAAGCACCGGCUAACUACGUGCCAGCAGCCGCGGUAAUACGUAGGGUGCAGGCGUUAAUCGGAAUUACUGGGCGUAAAGCGUGCGCAGGCGGUUUGCUAAGACAGGUGUGAAAUCCCCGGGCUUAACCUGGGAACUGCGCUUGUAACUGGCAAGCUAGAGUGUGGCAGAGGGGGGUGGAAUUCCAAGUGUAGCAGUGAAAUGCGUAGAUAUUUGGAGGAACACCGAUGGCGAAGGCAGCCCCCUGGGCUAACACUGACGCUCAUGCACGAAAGCGUGGGGAGCAAACAGGAUUAGAUACCCUGGUAU
RNAcentral lists this ribosomal RNA (464 nucleotides) under uncultured bacterium. Its description in RNAcentral is "bacterial SSU rRNA". It matches the Rfam family "Bacterial small subunit ribosomal RNA", at positions 337 to 793 of the family's 1533-position model. The record is from RNAcentral.